GAUGAACGCUGGCGGCGUGCCUAAUACAUGCAAGUCGAGCGAACGGACGAGAAGCUUUCUUCUCUUAUGUUAGCGGCGGACGGGUGAGUAACACGUGGAUAACCUACCUAUAAGACUGGGGUCACUUCGGGAGCCCGAAUCUCAUACCCGAUCAUAUUUUGAACCGCAUGGUUCUACAGUCCAAGACGGUCUUGCUGUCACUUAUCCAUGUAUCCGCGCUGCAUUAGCUAGUUGGUGAGGUAACGGCUUACCAAGGCUACGAUGCAUAGCCGACCUGAGAGGGUGAUCGGCCACACUGGAACUGAGACACGGUCCAGACUCCUACGGGAGGCAGCAGUAGGGAAUAUUCCGCAAUGGGCGAAAGCCUGACGGAGCAACGCCGCGUGAGUGAUGAAGGUCUUCGGAUCGUAAAACUCUGUUAGUAGGGAAGAACAUAUGUGUAAGUAACUGUGCACAUCUUGACGGUACCUAAUCAGAAAGCCACGGCUAACUACGUG
RNAcentral lists this ribosomal RNA (497 nucleotides) under uncultured bacterium. RNAcentral describes it as "partial 16S ribosomal RNA". It matches the Rfam family "Bacterial small subunit ribosomal RNA", at positions 28 to 507 of the family's 1533-position model. The record is from RNAcentral.